RNAcentral lists this ribosomal RNA (439 nucleotides) under uncultured bacterium. RNAcentral's name for it is "partial 16S ribosomal RNA". It matches the Rfam family "Bacterial small subunit ribosomal RNA", at positions 338 to 795 of the family's 1533-position model. The record is from RNAcentral.
CCUACGGGUGGCAGCAGUGAGGAAUAUUGGACAAUGGGCGAAAGCCUGAAGCAGCAACGCCGCGUGAGCGAUGAAGGCCUUCGGGUCGUAAAGCUCUGUCCUCAAGGAAGCUAAUGACGGUAAUUGUGGAGGAAGCCCCGGCGAACUACGUGCCAGCAGCCGCGGUAAUACGUAGGGGGCUAGCGUUAUCCGGAAUUACUGGGCGUAAAGGGUGCGUAGGUGGUUUCUUAAGUCAGAGGUGAAAGGCUACGGCUCAACCGUAGUAAGCCGUUGAAACUGGGGAACUUGAGUGCGGGAGAGGAUAGUGGAAUGCCUGGUGUAGCGGUGAAAUGCGUAGAUAUUAGGAGGAACACCAGUUGCGAAGGCAGCUCUCUGGCCUGUAACUGACGCUGAGGCACGAAAGCGUGGGGAGCAAACAGGAUUAGAUACCCCAGUAGUC